UUCUUUUGAUUUUUUAAUCUAAAACUCAAAACGAGUUGAGAGGGAAUUUUUUUUCAUUUCUCCUCCCAAUGCAUCUCUCUCUCUUUUCCGGCCGUUUUAACCGGCGACGUCUUCACCGGACGGCUGUCCGUCAUUCUUCCCCUCCCAAUGCGUUUCUCUCUCUCUCCUCCUGCUGGUGGUCGCCCUUCACCAGCGCCGUCUCCACCGUCCGUCCUCUCUCUUCUCUCUCGUCCGUCCUUCUCUGACAGCGAGUUCUUGUCUCCGGCAGGGUGUCCUUCUCCGGCAGCGUGACCGUGUCUCGUGUCUCCAGCGUUAUUCAACUGCCUGCAAACUAGUGAUCCUAGAAGUGGCUUUGCCAUUGCGGAGAAGGGAUAACCUUGAGCAACAAAUUGUGGCAGGAAUUGGGUAUAUGCAGGAAUUGGAAUAUAGGAAAAGAGAUUUUGGUUUGAAGGUUUGUUGGCGAGUUCCUCUUGAGCAGCUGCAGACCUGUUGCAAAAGUGGUGAAGUAUGUGUGUUCUGGUGUUUGGGGUAGCUGUUGGUCUCAGCUUAAGACUGAUGUUUUUCUGCAAUUCUACUGUUCAUGGGUCAAUUUGUUGUUGAGGUCGCUAUUGUUUUGCCUUUUGGUGGCUUGUUGGGGCCUCGUGUAGGCGUUGUAUAUUUUUUUUUUUGAUAGCUGCUGGUUUUAGAUGUUUUGUGCGUAUUUGUAACUUUAAGAAUUUUGAAUUUUACAUUUUAGGGGUGUUCAAACGGGACGGUUAUAACCGCUUUAA
Molecule: long non-coding RNA, 770 nt
Organism: Alnus glutinosa
Lineage: Eukaryota; Viridiplantae; Streptophyta; Magnoliopsida; Fagales; Betulaceae
Exons: 3
Source: RefSeq, a predicted model, not a curated record